This 503-nucleotide ribosomal RNA is filed under the name uncultured bacterium. RNAcentral's name for it is "partial 16S ribosomal RNA". It matches the Rfam family "Bacterial small subunit ribosomal RNA", at positions 29 to 523 of the family's 1533-position model. The record is from RNAcentral.
AACGAACGCUGGCGGCGUGUUUAAGACAUGCAAGUCGCACGGGAUAAGACAUGUAGUAAUACUUGUUUUAUUUAGUGGCGCACGGGUGAGUAACACGUGAAUUACAUGCCCUAUAGUGGGGAAUAGCGCAGGGAAACUGGGAUUAAUACCCCAGGGUAACGAAAGAUUAAAGGUGGCCGCAAGGCUGUCGAUAUAGGAUUGGUUCGCGCCCUAUCAGCUUGUUGGUGAGGUAACGGCGCACCAAGGCAAUGACGGGUACCUGGUCUGAGAGGACGAUCGGGCACACUGGAACUGAGACACGGUCCAGACACCUACGGGUGGCAGCAGUCGAGAAUAAUUCACAAUGGGGGCAACCCUGAUGGUGCAACGCCGCGUGGAGGAUGACGGUCUUCGGAUUGUAAACUCCUGUCAUCUGGGAGAAAGACCUGACGGUAAAUAGCCGGCAGGGUUGAUAGUACCAGAAGAGGAAGGGACGGCUAACUUCGUGCCAGCCGCCGCAGUAA